This 233-nucleotide ribosomal RNA is filed under the name uncultured bacterium. Its description in RNAcentral is "partial 16S ribosomal RNA". It matches the Rfam family "Bacterial small subunit ribosomal RNA", at positions 524 to 755 of the family's 1533-position model. The record is from RNAcentral.
UACGUAGGGUGCGAGCGUUGUCCGGAAUUACUGGGCGUAAAGAGCUUGUAGGUGGUUUGUCGCGUUGUUCGUGAAAUCUCACGGCUCAACUGUGAGCGUGCGGGCGAUACGGGCAGACUAGAGUACUGCAGGGGAGACUGGAAUUCCUGGUGUAGCGGUGGAAUGCGCAGAUAUCAGGAGGAACACCGGUGGCGAAGGCGGGUCUCUGGGCAGUAACUGACGCUGGAGGAGCG